This 673-nucleotide ribosomal RNA is filed under the name uncultured fungus. Its description in RNAcentral is "eukaryotic LSU rRNA". It matches the Rfam family "Eukaryotic large subunit ribosomal RNA", at positions 24 to 664 of the family's 3401-position model. The record is from RNAcentral. Lineage: Eukaryota; Fungi.
CCCGCUGAACUUAAGCAUAUCAAUAAGCGGAGGAAAAGAAACUAACAAGGAUUCCCCUAGUAACUGCGAGUGAAGCGGGAAAAGCUCAAAUUUAAAAUCUGGUGGUCUUUCGGCCGCUCGAGUUGUAAUCUAGAGAAGUGCUUUCCGCGCUGGACCGUGUACAAGUCUCUUGGAAUGGAGCGUCGGAGAGGGUGACGAUUCCGUCUUUGACACGGACUGCCAGGGCUUAUGUGAUGCGCUCUCGAAGAGUCGAGUUGUUUGGGAAUGCAGCUCAAAAUGGGUGGUAAAUUCCCUCUAAAGCUAAAUAUGGGCGAGAGACCGAUAGCGAACAAAUACCGUGAGGGAAAGAUGAAAAGAACUUUGAAAAGAGAGUUAAACAGUACGUGAAAUUGUUGAAAGGGAAACGAUUCAAGUCAGUCGCGUCGGCCGGCAAUCAACCUUUGCGACUCUUCUGUUGCUGGCCUUACUUUCUGGUCGACGGGUCAUCGUCAAUUUUGACCGUCGGACAAAGCAGAGGGGAAUGUGGCAUCCUUGGAUGUGUUAUAGCCUCGCGUCGCAUGCGACGGUUGGGAUUGAGGAACUCGUCACGCCGCAAGAUCGGGGCUGUCAUGCUCACGUAAACGUGCCUAGGAUGCUGGCAUAAUGGCUUGAACCGACCCGUCUUGAAACACGG